UCAACUGCGGUGGAGGAGCAGAUGAUUCUCCUUCUGACUAAUCACUAGAAGGUUAGCAGUUGCCUCAUGCUGCGUCACAACGCCUACGUCACUCACCUUACUUUAUCGCAUCAUGUAGGUAUUUUAUCAUCUCAUAUCAUCGCAAGAAGAAGGGAAAUGGACUUCCGUGGCCUGAUCUAAGAUGGUGUCUAGAGCUCUAGUCUCUAUAUCUGCCUUCCAGCCAACUGCAAGGAGAAAAGGGAAGGAGUUGGAGGCACCUCUGAGAGCAGAGAAGUUUUCCAGCCCACUCUCCAAAGAAGGAAGCAGUCCAACAAUGCUGAUCUAAGCCAACUGCCCAUAUCCUUUAGGGAUAGGCAUGACGAGUGAGCCACCACAAGACAAAGUGACCCAGAGAGUGUGCUUCCUGACCAUAAUGAAAGCACCAAGGUUAAAGAUGAUGACUAACUACAGUCAAAUCACCUUCCAAGUUCUACUUUGCUUAAUUAAUUCUUUCCUUUGCUCUCCGACAUAUAGUAGACCCUUAAAGGAACAUUUUAAACCUACACAGCCAGUUGCCUCCUUCAAGCCAGCGAAAGCGUAAUCCAGAAAGAAAACAAAGAAGUCAACUCUGCUCUGCCAGUGAGAUGUUUCUGGAAACCACCAUUUUCUGUAUCUGUUCCUUGAGAACUGGGGACAACACCAGUGACGGUCCUUGGCCUUGAGUUAAUUACUUGGGGGGAAUAUGCAACAAGAGACCAUGGAUCCCCACUUUUAAGGUCACCCUGACAUGUGGAGGUCUUCCAGCAUUCCAGAACCUGACUCAUUCCAGCACAUUGCUUUGUUAUGAUGUCAGCUGUCAGUGGGCCAGGUGACAGGAGCUGAGCCACCUCUGAGCCCGCCAAGCCUGAGGACACAGAAGCAGAUGUGUAUUCUAAAUUUACCCCUCUUCCUUCCAGUUCACAUUCCCACCUGGACACUCAGGCAACCCCUAUCCAUCCCUCUUCCCUUAUUCAUUCAUUCAUUUAUUCAUUUACCAAUUCAUGUAAUAAACAUCUUUAAUCAGCCACUGUGUGCCAGGCACUGGGGUAAAGG
Long non-coding RNA from Felis catus (domestic cat), 1071 nucleotides. RefSeq lists it as uncharacterized. The transcript has 3 exons. The record is from RefSeq and is a predicted model, not a curated record. NCBI's taxonomy places the organism in Eukaryota, Metazoa, Chordata, Mammalia, Carnivora, Felidae.